CCUACGGGAGGCAGCAGUGAGGAAUAUUGGUCAAUGGGCGCGAGCCUGAACCAGCCAAGUCGCGUGAGGGAAGACGGUCCUAUGGAUUGUAAACCUCUUUUGUCGGGGAGCAAAAGACGCCACGCGUGGCGUUCCGAGAGUACCCGAAGAACAAGCAUCGGCUAACUCCGUGCCAGCAGCCGCGGUACUACGGAGGAUGCGAGCGUUAUCCGGAUUUAUUGGGUUUAAAGGGUGCGCAGGCGGAAGAUCAAGUCAGCGGUAAAAUUGAGAGGCUCAACCUCUUCGAGCCGUUGAAACUGGUGUUCUUGAGUGAGCGAGAAGUAUGCGGAAGGCGUGGUGUAGCGGUGAAAUGCAUAGAUAUCACGCAGAACUCCGAUUGCGAAGGCAGCAUACCGGCGCUCAACUGACGCUCAUGCACGAAAGUGUGGGUAUCGAACAGGAUUAGAUACCCCAGUAGUC
RNAcentral lists this ribosomal RNA (459 nucleotides) under uncultured bacterium. RNAcentral describes it as "partial 16S ribosomal RNA". It matches the Rfam family "Bacterial small subunit ribosomal RNA", at positions 338 to 795 of the family's 1533-position model. The record is from RNAcentral.